UCACUUACCUCGACGGGUUCUAUCGAUGAUCAAGAAGGUCCAUGGCCUAGUUGGUGAUCUCCAUUGCACUUGGGAAGAGUGCCCGCCUAAAGUCGACCCAAGUGUUCGAGCCUACAUCAUUAUUUGUUGUAGUGGGGGCCUGCGUUCGCAUCGGCCCCUA
This is a non-coding RNA of Helianthus annuus (common sunflower), 160 nucleotides long. The record is from Rfam. Lineage: Eukaryota; Viridiplantae; Streptophyta; Magnoliopsida; Asterales; Asteraceae.